RNAcentral lists this long non-coding RNA (692 nucleotides) under Helianthus annuus (common sunflower). Lineage: Eukaryota; Viridiplantae; Streptophyta; Magnoliopsida; Asterales; Asteraceae. The record is from RNAcentral.
UUCACUGCUUUACACCGAAAUCCUAGCCUGCUUCUUCCUUUGGCUUGAAGCUUCUACCAUACGCUUUCCUGAAAUCCUGAUGUACCAUACGCUUAUUCUUCUUCUUCUUCUACCUGCAUCUCAUUCUCUCUGAAUCACUUGUGCUUGAAUGGCUUAACAAAGGAUUCCAAAAUCAAGGUUAUUCACUUCCAGGAUUCUCUCCGGCUCCUCUCUGCCUCAACCGAUACUAGGGUUUUGCCAUUGAUUGUUUUUUUAGGGAGGUCAGAUUGGUAACUGAUGCUACUGAACUACCGUGGUAGCCUUUACAGAAAUCUUUAUAUUGUAAAUUAGUUUGAAUUUGGGCCAAGUUCAAUGUGUCCAUUAGCUCGAGUAAAUACCCGAGACCGAUUUUAUCAAGAUAUUAAUACUGAUGACCGACAUGCUAUGUUAGAGCCUGGUGAGCUUCACUAUGCAGAAGAUCGCAUUUAGAUAUACAUAACAAUGGGAGCUCAUGAGCGUCGUGUUGGUUUCAUGUACCGAGAGGGGUUCUCUAAAGUAAGCUACUGCAUUUUUUAGAAAUUAAAAGGGUAAAUUGAUGUUUGGGUUGACCCAUGUGUUCCCUAAGUUAUGUUUAUUGCUAAUUAGUAUAUAGGAUGAAAGAUGUUGUAAUCUAUCAAUUAGCUUAUCAUAUACUGUUGAAACUUUCAGAUCCU